AGAGUUUGAUCAUGGCUCAGAACGAACGCUGGCGGCAGGCUUAACACAUGCAAGUCGAACGCGUGUAGCAAUACACGAGUGGCGCACGGGUGAGUAACGCGUGGAUAUCUGCCUUUUGGUUCGGAAUAACCCCGGGAAACUGGGGCUAAUACCGGAUGGUUCCUUCGGGAUAAAGAUUUAUCGCCAAAAGAUGAGUCCGCGUACGAUUAGCUAGUUGGUGAGGUAAUGGCUCACCAAGGCGACGAUCGUUAGCUGGUCUGAGAGGACGAUCAGCCACACUGGGACUGAGACACGGCCCAGACUCCUACGGGAGGCAGCAGUGGGGAAUAUUGGACAAUGGGGGCAACCCUGAUCCAGCCAUGCCGCGUGAGUGAUGAAGGCCUUCGGGUUGUAAAGCUCUUUUGGCGGGGACGAUGAUGACGGUACCCGCAGAAUAAGCCCCGGCUAACUUCGUGCCAGCAGCCGCGGUAAGACGAAGGGGGCUAGCGUUGUUCGGAAUUACUGGGCGUAAAGCGCGUGUAGGCGGUUAUCCAAGUCGGGUGUGAAAGCCUUGAGCUCAACUCAAGAAAUGCACUCGGUACUGGGUGACUAGAGGACCGGAGAGGAUAGUGGAAUUCCCAGUGUAGUGGUGAAAUACGUAGAGAUU
RNAcentral lists this ribosomal RNA (646 nucleotides) under uncultured bacterium. RNAcentral's name for it is "bacterial SSU rRNA". It matches the Rfam family "Bacterial small subunit ribosomal RNA", at positions 8 to 698 of the family's 1533-position model. The record is from RNAcentral.